AACGCCCCCAACCACAACCCCUGUCAAUUGAAUGUCUAAGCCCAAACAAAAUGAUACUUCAAAACUUUCAACAACGGAUCUCUUGGCUCUGGCAUCGAUGAAGAACGCAGCGAAAUGCGAUAAGUAAUGCGAAUUGCAGAAUUCCGCGAGUCAUCGAAUCUUUGAACGCAUAUUGCGCCCUCCGGUAUUCCGGAGGGCAUGCCUGUCCGAGCGUCAUU
RNAcentral lists this ribosomal RNA (218 nucleotides) under Dermatocarpon americanum. Its description in RNAcentral is "5.8S ribosomal RNA". The stretch from base 63 to 216 matches the Rfam family "5.8S ribosomal RNA". Rfam says of the family: 5.8S ribosomal RNA (5.8S rRNA) is a component of the large subunit of the eukaryotic ribosome. It is transcribed by RNA polymerase I as part of the 45S precursor that also contains 18S and 28S rRNA. The record is from RNAcentral. Lineage: Eukaryota; Fungi; Ascomycota; Eurotiomycetes; Verrucariales; Verrucariaceae.